Molecule: Y RNA, 95 nt
Filed under: Propithecus coquereli (Coquerel's sifaka)
Lineage: Eukaryota; Metazoa; Chordata; Mammalia; Primates; Indriidae
Description: Y RNA (ENSPCOG00000003252.1)
Rfam family: Y RNA
About the family: Y RNAs are components of the Ro ribonucleoprotein particle (Ro RNP), in association with Ro60 and La proteins. The Y RNAs and Ro60 and La proteins are well conserved, but the function of the Ro RNP is not known.
Source: Rfam by way of RNAcentral
AACUGGUCUGAUGGUAGUGGGUUAUCAGAACUUUUAACAUUAGUGUCACUAAAGUUGGUAUUCAACCCCCCACUGCUAAAUUUGACUGGCUUUAA